RNAcentral lists this ribosomal RNA (431 nucleotides) under uncultured bacterium. RNAcentral's name for it is "partial 16S ribosomal RNA". It matches the Rfam family "Bacterial small subunit ribosomal RNA", at positions 29 to 507 of the family's 1533-position model. The record is from RNAcentral.
AACGAACGCUGGCGGCAGGCCUAACACAUGCAAGUCGAGCGCCCUUUCGGGGGAGCGGCGGACGGGUGAGUACCGCGUGGGAAUAUGCCCUUCUCUACGGAAUAGCCUCGGGAAACUGAGAGUAAUACCGUAUACGCCCUUUGGGGGAAAGAUUUAUCGGGGAAGGAUUAGCCCGCGUUGGAUUAGGUAGUUGGUGGGGUAAUGGCCUACCAAGCCGACGAUCCAUAGCUGGUUUGAGAGGAUGAUCAGCCACACUGGGACUGAGACACGGCCCAGACUCCUACGGGAGGCAGCAGUGGGGAAUCUUAGACAAUGGGGGCAACCCUGAUCGAGCCAUGCCGCGUGAGUGAUGAAGGCCUUAGGGUUGUAAAGCUCUUUCAGCUGGGAAGAUAAUGACGGUGCCAGCAGAAGAAGCCCCGGCUAACUCCGUG